Molecule: ribosomal RNA, 495 nt
Filed under: uncultured bacterium
Lineage: Bacteria
Description: partial 16S ribosomal RNA
Rfam family: Bacterial small subunit ribosomal RNA
Source: RNAcentral
GACGAACGCUGGCGGCGUGCCUAAUACAUGCAAGUAGAACGCUGAAGGAGGAGCUUGCUCUUCUGGAUGAGUUGCGAACGGGUGAGUAACGCGUAGGUAACCUGCCUGGUAGCGGGGGAUAACUAUUGGAAACGAUAGCUAAUACCGCAUAACAGUAGAAGUUGCAUGACAUUUACUUAAAAGGUGCAAUUGCAUCACUACCAGAUGGACCUGCGUUGUAUUAGCUAGUUGGUGGGGUAACGGCUCACCAAGGCGACGAUACAUAGCCGACCUGAGAGGGUGAUCGGCCACACUGGGACUGAGACACGGCCCAGACUCCUACGGGAGGCAGCAGUAGGGAAUCUUCGGCAAUGGACGGAAGUCUGACCGAGCAACGCCGCGUGAGGGAAGAAGGUUUUCGGAUCGUAAAGCUCGGUUGUAAGAGAAGAACGAGUGUGAGAGUGGAAAGUUCACACUGUGACGGUAUCUUACCAGAAAGGGACGGCUAACUACGUG